This is a long non-coding RNA of Oncorhynchus tshawytscha (Chinook salmon), 373 nucleotides long. NCBI's taxonomy places the organism in Eukaryota, Metazoa, Chordata, Actinopteri, Salmoniformes, Salmonidae. The record is from Ensembl.
CAGCAAUGUUCCUACAUCUAGUGGAAAGCCUUCCCAGAAGAGUGGAGGCUGUUAUAGCAGCAAUGUUCCUACAUCUAGUGGAAAGCCUUCCCAGAAGAGUGGAGGCUGUUAUAGCAGCAAUGUUCCAACAUCUAGUGGAAAGCCUUCCCAGAAGAGUGGAGGCUGUUAUAGGGGGGACCAACUCUAUAUUAAUGACCAUGAUUUUAGAAUGAGAUGUUGGAUAAGGUGUCCACAUACUUUUGGUCACAUAGUGUAUUUACAGCUAAAUAUAUACACAAUUAAAAUGACUACAUGCAAAUCAAUUACACUCAAUAUCAAUGGUCCCUUUAUAUAAACAAUACCUGAUGGGACGCAUCAUAGAACAACAGAACAC